Leptinotarsa decemlineata (Colorado potato beetle) is the source of this 992-nucleotide long non-coding RNA. RefSeq lists it as uncharacterized. The record is from RefSeq and is a predicted model, not a curated record. NCBI's taxonomy places the organism in Eukaryota, Metazoa, Arthropoda, Insecta, Coleoptera, Chrysomelidae.
UCGCCGUAACUUGUCAUCUUGUGACGUCAAUCUUUCUUUAAUGUGAAAAUCCUAUAUAAUUUCCUUUAUGAAAUGCAAAUAUUUAAGAAUGACUAUCGUAACGUUAAGAUAGUAAGUGCUCACAAGACUCAGAAGUUUCACCAGAAGUUAAUUUAAAAAUACUGAUAUGAUUGCUUCUUACCUUGGUACUUUGUCUCGUUCAAAAGUUGGGAGAAGUGAAGACUAAAUGGUAUGCGGAAAUAUUGAUUUUGCUUUCGUUAAUCAAGGAAUAUUAUAUCUGGGAAACCUUGAUGGAUGUGGGCUCUAGUUUCAGGUCAGCUAACGUUCCUUCUGUUUCUUGAAUUAAGUGCCGUAAAAUUUCGGUCAGCUGCUUUUCAUUGAAAUUCUGCAGGAACGUCUUAACUAUUUUGAAAAAAUCGGGGUCACCAAUUAUGAAAUUAAUUCUUGCUUUGAACAACUCAAAGAACUUUUAAUAAAAAUGUUAGUUUUUUGAAAAAUCAAUUUUAACAAUCCGAUAACCAACGACCUUAUGGUAUCUCGUUUUUUAUAAUAAAACAUAUUGACAGGUAUAGGAACAUAUAUACAGAAGAAGCCAGAAUGGUCACCACACUAGGCAACUUGCUUUCAUUCAAGCAAUCAUUUUACAUCUCAAAGUUCGCGAGAUCCGAAUUUAACAGUCCAGUAUAUAGAUUGUUAGGUGUCGUUGGAGUUUUUUUUGUCAAAAGAUGUUAUUUGGAAUGAAUCUACUAAGGAAACCUAUCUAUAAAACAAAAAUUAUUAAUAACAGCCCAAUACAUUUAAGACAACCUUUAUUACUGAAUGCAUACUGGUCAUUUGGGUUACAAGUACAGAGCAUAACAACUUCAGUUAUUUAAAAAGCACUUACAUAAACUAACUUAUUCUAGGUGAUCAUCCGCACAGCACGAGACUAUAGAUAUUCAGUUAUUGUAUCCACAUUUCUAAGAAAUAUACUGUGAUAUAUCUAUCUGAAA